This is an RNA transcript of Vespa crabro (European hornet), 5540 nucleotides long. It is a transcript of the gene named paired box protein Pax-6-like, with no coding region annotated. The record is from RefSeq and is a predicted model, not a curated record. The transcript is spliced from 10 exons. NCBI's taxonomy places the organism in Eukaryota, Metazoa, Arthropoda, Insecta, Hymenoptera, Vespidae.
GAGAAACAGAGAAAGCAAAGGAGAGAAAGAGAGAGAGAGAGAGAGAGAGAGAGUGAUAUCUUGUGACCUGUAGCGUGCCAAAGGCCCGAAGAUUCUGCCUUCGCAGCAGCUCGGCGCUGCGGUCGCUCCAUGGCCGGGCGCCACCGGCCUCCUCGCCUCCGUCACCGCUGACGAUAUGGCACACAAAGGUCACAGCGGAGUGAACCAAUUGGGUGGUGUCUUCGUCGGUGGUAGACCGCUUCCUGAUUCGACGAGGCAAAAGAUCGUCGAAUUAGCUCAUUCCGGGGCACGUCCUUGCGACAUCUCAAGGAUCCUGCAGGUCAGCAAUGGCUGCGUUUCAAAGAUCCUUGGCAGCAGGUACUAUGAGACCGGAUCUAUAAGGCCAAGGGCCAUUGGCGGCAGUAAGCCGCGAGUGGCCACGGCGGAAGUCGUCAGCAAGAUUUCACUUUAUAAAAGUGAGUGCCCGUCGAUCUUUGCUUGGGAGAUCAGAGAUCGUUUACUUCAAGAGGGCGUGUGCACGAACGACAACAUUCCAAGCGUUUCGUCCAUCAACAGGGUAUUGAGGAACUUGGCGGCACAGAAGGAACAAAGACAGCAACAGCAACAACAGCAACAGGGUGUAGGGGCAGUUGGCGUUGGCGUCGGCGUAGGUGUUGGCGCUGGUAGUCCUGCUGAGAGCGUUUACGACAAGCUCAGGCUACUGAACGGACAGACCACUGGCUGGCCAAGACCCAAUCCCUGGUAUCCGUCGGGUGCGGGAAGCCCUUUCUCGAGUCUUCAGCCUAGUCUAAGUCCGAGCCAUUGCACGGCGCUACCGCCUGAUCCCGCUGAUAUUCUCCACGCCAAAAAGGUGGCUGAACUCGAAGGAGGCGCUCAUUCUGACGAGACCAACAGCGGCGGUGACAACAGUAACGCCGGCAGUGUAUCUGGUGGUGCAGACGAUGAUCAAGCACGUUUACGACUUAAGAGAAAGCUUCAGAGGAAUCGUACGAGCUUCAGCAACGAGCAAAUCGAUGCUCUUGAAAAGGAAUUUGAGAGAACGCAUUAUCCGGAUGUAUUUGCAAGAGAACGACUCGCUGGGAAGAUUGGCCUACCGGAAGCUCGAAUACAGGUAUGGUUUUCGAAUCGGCGGGCAAAGUGGAGACGAGAGGAGAAGUUGCGUACGCAACGGAGGGACAACCCGCAGCAGCAGCAACAACAGCAACAACAGCAGCAACAACAACAGCAACAACAACAACAGCAACAACAACAGCAACAGUCACAGGCUCAACAGCAACAGCAACAAUCUCAUACGGGAGGUGUUAGUCUCGUGGGUGCUGGUCAUCCUACGCCACCUCCACCGACUGGUAUUCUUGGUGGACAGGCACCACCACAGGCACCACCGUCGCCACCCAGAAUACAUCAUGGAUUUGCACCAACCGCUGUUUAUCCAGGAAUACCUAGCAUGCCGGACUCUUACAGUCCCAUGACAUCAAUGCCAAGUUUCACGAUGUCAGGUGGCAGCCAACAGAAUCAACAUACGACCAGCAGCAUGUCUUCACUGUCAGGGUCUCUUUCGGGUUCGUUAUCAGGCUCGCUAUCGGGAGGUGGCAUGGGUCCAAUGGGUAUGACGGUUGGCAUGACUGUUGGCCCUAGUCCUGGCGCGUGCCUUCAACAACGUGACAAUGGUUACUCUUGUGGCGUGGCACGACCACCAAGUUACGAGCCGCUUCAUUUGGGAUACGGUGCGAGGCCAACCUGCAGUCCGACCCAGCCUUACCACACCGCGGGCCUUAAUCAGUACAAUCAGAACGCCAGCUCGACCGGUGAGUGUCUACCGCACUCACUGCACUCGCUGCUUGCGCUUUAGCCGAUGGACUACUACUAUGGCUACCACGGAUAACACGCUAUCGAGCCUGCCGGUCUGAUAUCACCGGGCGUGAGCGUACCGAUCGCAGUGCCAGGCCAACCAGCACCAGACAUGGCGGCGCAAUAUUGGUCACCAAGGCUACAGUGACCGUGGUGGUCCUCGACGUCGACCUCGUCCUCCUAGGCACGAGUUUCUUCGUCCUCGAUCAGAACCAGAAUAUAAUCGUCGUCGGUUUUAGGACCACCAAGAAAUUUAAUAGAAAGGAAAGAAGGAAAGAAACAAAAGGAAAGGAAAGGAAAGGAAAGAAAAAAGAAAAGAAAGAACAAAUGAACGAAAGGAUUUUAAAUCGAUUUUCUUAUCGAACACGAUGAGAAGGGACAAGUGUGCGAAGAAUUCGAGUUUUUUAAACGUCGAGCGCCUUUUCUUCUUCUUUUUCUUUUUUUUUUCUUUUUCUUUCUUGUUUCUUUUACGCUUCUUUUUUUUUUUGUUUUGUUGUUGUUGUUUUUUUCCUCUUUUUUUUUUUCUUUUCUUUUAGAUUCGACGACGACAAUGAUAAUACGACGAUUCAACAGAGAAGUGAUAAUCGAAAACGAUAUCCUCAAGGUCGUUGUGUCGUCAUGAAAAAGGAAAAGAAAAAAAAAAGAAAGAAAUAGGAAAAUGCAAGCACCACCGAUCAAUAAUAUUGUAAUUUUGAUUCAACGAAAUAUCAAAGAAAACUUUCCUUCGGUAGUUAAUCGUAAUCGGUAAAAAGAGAAUUCGACGUUUUCGAAUAAACUAAAUUAUAAACUAGCAUACUAUAGUGCAUUCAAUAUAUUAAACAAGAUCGCCUUUUCGGUAUGCUUUAUGUUGUAAUUAAAAAUCAUAAUUUAACAUUCACUUAGAAUUACAUUACUAUGUGAAAUAUAAACUGUAGUAUUUUUUUAAGUACUAUGUGAUAUAUAUAUGAACUAUAGUAUUUGAGAAAUACUAUAAGCAGUAGUAUUUUUUUAAGUACAAUGUUAAUUACAAAUCUAAGAAAGUUACAAAUUUAAGAAAUAGUAUGUGAAACACGAGCUGUAGUAUUUUUUGUUUUUUUUUUUUGUUUUUUUUUUCGUUUUUUUUUUUUUUAAGUAUUAUAUGAAAUAUAAACUAUAGUAUUUGAGAAAUACUAUGUUGAUAUAUAAACUGUAGUAUUUUUUCUUUUUUUAAAUACUAUGUGAAAUAUAAAAUAUAGUAUUUUAUAAGUACUAUAAUUUAAUUAGUACUCUAGUACUAUAAUUUAAUAAAUUAAACAUUAUAUAUGUCUGUAUUAUAUAAAUUAUAAAUCAUAGUUUAUGUAAUGCAGACCAUACAUAUGUCAUAUCAUACAUAAAUGAAAACGUCAUGUAUUAAGUCGAGUCCUUUAUCAUUCCGUCGUCGAAAACUCACCACCGGCUGCGAAUUUUACUCUCGGAUAACACAUACAUUAUUACAAUAAUGAACUUCAGUGGUUUUUGUAUUUUCUUUCUUGUUUUAUUUUUAAGUUUUUUAUUAUUUUGUUUUUGUUUUUCCUCCCCGCGGAACGUGUAAUUUCUAUCUUCUGGAUGUACGUGCGAUAGUUAAAAGUUGUAAUAUUACGCCCGAGUGGCGUCAGUUGGUACAAACCAGAGGUUAAUUAUUGAAAAAGAAAAAAAAUUAUAAAUAUAUAUAUAUAUAUACAUAUAUAUACACACACACACACAUAUAUAUAUAUAUAUAUGUAUAUAUAUAUAUAUAAAUAUAUAAAUAUAUAAAUAUAUCAUAGCGAUGACAAUUGAUAAUUAUGUUUACUACGUAGUAGUUGAUAAAAGAAAAAGAAAAAAAAAAAAAAAGAAAAAAGAAUAAAAGGAAAACUAGGACGAGGAAGGAAAAAAGGAAAAAAAAUCAGCUGAGCUUAAACACAUUUUUGUGUGUCUGUUCUACGUGUGUGUUCUUCUUUUUCUUUUUAUCGUUGUACGUUGUCACACUGUAAGAGAUACGAACUAUGCGAACCACAUAUACAUAUACAUAUACAUAACACCACUUUCGUCGGAAAUAAAUUCAGAAAUAGAGCGAGAUACGCCAUAACGAUAUGCCAUAACUGGAUAACGCCAUAACGUGCUAUAUCGUUUAAUCUUACGCGAACUUUACAAACACUUUUUGCUUGUAUACUCUAUUACUACUACUACUACUACUACUACUACUACUACUACUACUACUACUACUACUAUUACUACUACUACUUGCUACUUAUAUUACAUGCAUACAUACAUACAUACAUACAAACCAUACACACAUACGUACACAUAUUCACCAUAACAUUGAGUGACAUACGCUUAUCUCGGGCUAAAUAUUUGACAGACGAUCGUUGCUUCUAUUUUAAACUGCCUUUUACGUGUUCAUAAAUAGGAGAAAAAAAAAAAAAGAAAAGGAGAAAAAAAAAGAAACAAAAAAAAAAACAGAAAGAAAAAAAGAGGAAACAGAACACGAAAUCGGCUCUCAUACCCGAUAACGAAAAAAAUACGCACAGAACUAUUGUAAAGGAAACACAAAAAAGAGAACAAAAAAAAAGAUAAAGAUAAAACAUCCUUUACUCACAUAUAAAUCGUGAUAGAGAAAGGGAGAGUUACGCGAGAGAAAGAAAGAGAAAAGGGCAAUGUAGUCAGACCUAUCGAGUAUCGACAAUGUGUAUUGUGCAAACACUUCUUUGUAAAGUAAUUUAAUAAAGAGAAUAUGCGAACGAGCGAGUUAAAGAGAGAGAGAGAGAGAGAGAGAGAGAGUGAGAGAGAGAGAGAGAGAUGUAAAUCGAUCGAAGAAAUUUCAACGUGGCAAAAUGAUGUGAUCUUUUAUAAGAUAUUUUCGUCAUCGCGUCUCGUAAAUUACUUUAUUACGCGGAUAAAAUUGUUAGGCGAGAUAAACGAAGGAAGCAAGAAAGAAAAAAAAGAAAAAAAGGAAAAAAUAAAGAAAGAAAAAAGAAAAAGAAAAAAGUAAUAGAAAAGAGAACGAGAACGAAAACAUGAAAAAAGAAAAAAAGAGAAAAGUAAACAUUAUAAAGACACAGGAAAAUAAAGUAAUAGUUUCUAAGUCGACACAUUACCGCUAUUAUUUAUAUUCAUGUAAUGAAUGAGAGAAGCCAGAAAUGACGACGAUAACGACGAUGACGACAACGAUAAUGACGAUAAUGACAAUGAUGACGACGACGACGACGCCAAUGAUGACGAUGACGACAAUGACGACUAUGAUGACGACGACGAUGAACGUUUAUGUACGUGUACACAAUGUAAGAAUAUCGGUCAGUCAUUUAUAUACAUAUAUACAUAUAUACAUAUAGUUGAAUCCUAAUUCUAGAAGCGAUAAUUGAUAAUGUCGAUUCGUAAUUUAUAUUCCGGUGCAAGAUCGAACGAGUAAACAAAAUGAAUGAAAAAAAAUUAUAUAUAUAUAUAUAUAUUAAUAAUAAUAAUAAUAAUAAUAAUAAUAAUAAUAAUUAAUAAUAAUUAAUAAUAAUAAUAAUAAUAAUAAUAAUAAAUAAUAAUAAUAAUAAUAAUAAGUAAUAAUAAUGAUAAUAAUAAUAAUAAUAAGUAAUAAUAAUAAUAGUAAUAAUAAUAAUGGUAAAGAAAGAAAAAAAAAUGUGAAAAACCGAGCGAAUGUGAUUCCCUUAGGUCAGGUAUGUUAAACGUACGAUUAUGCAUUCUAAAUAAAUAGUGUGUGCAUUUAA